GCGGAAAUAGCUCAGUGGUAGAGCGUCUCGUUGCCAACGAGAAGGUCGCGAGUUCAAAUCUCGUUUUCCGCU
Molecule: non-coding RNA, 72 nt
Organism: Selenihalanaerobacter shriftii
Lineage: Bacteria; Bacillati; Bacillota; Clostridia; Halanaerobiales; Halobacteroidaceae
Source: Rfam